RNAcentral lists this transfer RNA (70 nucleotides) under Salmo salar (Atlantic salmon). It matches the Rfam family "tRNA". Rfam says of the family: Transfer RNA (tRNA) molecules are approximately 80 nucleotides in length. Their secondary structure includes four short double-helical elements and three loops (D, anti-codon, and T loops). Lineage: Eukaryota; Metazoa; Chordata; Actinopteri; Salmoniformes; Salmonidae. The record is from Rfam by way of RNAcentral.
CCCUCUGGCUCAGUUGGUAGAGCAUGGUGUUUGCAACGCCAGGGUUGUGAGUUCAAUUCCCACAGGGGGC